AGCAAGACAAUGUUCAAGAGGAGUAUCAGUGACCCUGGCGGUCAGAGAGAAGUCGGUCGGUGCAAGACUUCCCCAGACACUGAAAAGGUAGCUUGAAGGUCUUUGAUCCGAACCACGGUUUGUUUCUUGCAGACAAAGCCGCACAGUAAGAUCAAGCGCGUCGUGAACGUUACCUCACGUCAAAGUGGCAGAGCAAUCUGCAAUUUAGGUGGUACCGCGUAUCAGCGCCCUAAUG
Molecule: non-coding RNA, 235 nt
Organism: Enterococcus sp. 2G9_DIV0600
Lineage: Bacteria; Bacillati; Bacillota; Bacilli; Lactobacillales; Enterococcaceae
Source: Rfam